Molecule: ribosomal RNA, 253 nt
Filed under: uncultured bacterium
Lineage: Bacteria
Description: partial 16S ribosomal RNA
Rfam family: Bacterial small subunit ribosomal RNA
Source: RNAcentral
UACGUAGGUGGCAAGCGUUGUCCGGAAUUAUUGGGCGUAAAGCGCGCGCAGGCGGUCCCUUAAGUCUGAUGUGAAAGCCCACGGCUCAACCGUGGAGGGUCAUUGGAAACUGGGGGACUUGAGUACAGAAGAGGGAAGCGGAAUUCCACGUGUAGCGGUGAAAUGCGUAGAGAUGUGGAGGAACACCAGUGGCGAAGGCGGCUUUCUGGUCUGUAACUGACGCUGAGGCGCGAAAGCGUGGGGAGCAAACAGG